UACGUAGGGUGCAAGCGUUACUCGGAAUUACUGGGCGUAAAGCGUGCGCAGGCGGUUAUGUAAGACAGGUGUGAAAUCCCAGGGCUUAACCUUGGAACUGCAUUUGUGACUGCAUAGCUAGAGUACGGUAGAGGGGGAUGGAAUUCCGCGUGUAGCAGUGAAAUGCGUAGAUAUGCGGAGGAACACCGAUGGCGAAGGCAAUCCCCUGGACCUGUACUGACGCUCAUGCACGAAAGCGUGGGGAGCAAACAGG
This 253-nucleotide ribosomal RNA is filed under the name uncultured bacterium. RNAcentral describes it as "partial 16S ribosomal RNA". It matches the Rfam family "Bacterial small subunit ribosomal RNA", at positions 524 to 776 of the family's 1533-position model. The record is from RNAcentral.